UGAGUUGAUCCUGGCUCAGGACGAACGCUGGCGGCGUGCCUAAUACAUGCAAGUCGAGCGGACAGAUGGGAGCUUGCUCCCUGAUGUUAGCGGCGGACGGGUGAGUAACACGUGGGUAACCUGCCUGUAAGACUGGGAUAACUCCGGGAAACCGGGGCUAAUACCGGAUGGUUGUUUGAACCGCAUGGUUCAAACAUAAAAGGUGGCUUCGGCUACCACUUACAGAUGGACCCGCGGCGCAUUAGCUAGUUGGUGAGGUAAYGGCUCACCAAGGCAACGAUGCGUAGCCGACCUGAGAGGGUGAUCGGCCACACUGGGACUGAGACACGGCCCAGACUCCUACGGGAGGCAGCAGUAGGGAAUCUUCCGCAAUGGACGAAAGUCUGACGGAGCAACGCCGCGUGAGUGAUGAAGGUUUUCGGAUCGUAAAGCUCUGUUGUUAGGGAAGAACAAGUACCGUUCGAAUAGGGCGGUACCUUGACGGUACCUAACCAGAAAGCCACGGCUAACUACGUGCCAGCAGCCGCGGUAAUACGUAGGUGGCAAGCGUUGUCCGGAAUUAUUGGGCGUAAAGGGCUCGCAGGCGGUUUCUUAAGUCUGAUGUGAAAGCCCCCGGCUCAACCGGGGAGGGUCAUUGGAAACUGGGGAACUUGAGUGCAGAAGAGGAGAGUGGAAUUCCACGUGUAGCGGUGAAAUGCGUAGAGAUGUGGAGGAACACCAGUGGCGAAGGCGACUCUCUGGUCUGUAACUGACGCUGAGGAGCGAAAGCGUGGGGAGCGAACAGGAUUAGAUACCCUGGUAGUCCACGCCGUAAACGAUGAGUGCUAAGUGUUAGGGGGUUUCCGCCCCUUAGUGCUGCAGCUAACGCAUUAAGCACUCCGCCUGGGGAGUACGGUCGCAAGACUGAAACUCAAAGGAAUUGACGGGGGCCCGCACAAGCGGUGGAGCAUGUGGUUUAAUUCGAAGCAACGCGAAGAACCUUACCAGGUCUUGACAUCCUCUGACAAUCCUAGAGAUAGGACGUCCCCUUCGGGGGCAGAGUGACAGGUGGUGCAUGGUUGUCGUCAGCUCGUGUCGUGAGAUGUUGGGUUAAGUCCCGCAACGAGCGCAACCCUUGAUCUUAGUUGCCAGCAUUCAGUUGGGCACUCUAAGGUGACUGCCGGUGACAAACCGGAGGAAGGUGGGGAUGACGUCAAAUCAUCAUGCCCCUUAUGACCUGGGCUACACACGUGCUACAAUGGACAGAACAAAGGGCAGCGAAACCGCGAGGUUAAGCCAAUCCCACAAAUCUGUUCUCAGUUCGGAUCGCAGUCUGCAACUCGACUGCGUGAAGCUGGAAUCGCUAGUAAUCGCGGAUC
Molecule: ribosomal RNA, 1358 nt
Filed under: uncultured Bacillus sp.
Lineage: Bacteria; Bacillati; Bacillota; Bacilli; Caryophanales; Bacillaceae
Description: bacterial SSU rRNA
Rfam family: Bacterial small subunit ribosomal RNA
Source: RNAcentral